Molecule: ribosomal RNA, 440 nt
Filed under: uncultured bacterium
Lineage: Bacteria
Description: partial 16S ribosomal RNA
Rfam family: Bacterial small subunit ribosomal RNA
Source: RNAcentral
CCUACGGGUGGCUGCAGUGGGGAAUAUUGCUCAAUGGGGGAAACCCUGAUGCAGCGACGCCGCGUGAGUGAUGAAGUAUUUCGGUAUGUUAAGCUGCAUCUGUAGGGAAGUAAAUGACGGUACCUGUUUGAGAUUCCCUGGCUAAUUACGUGCCAGCAGCCGCGGUUAUAUGCAGGGGGCCAGCGUUAUCCGGAUUUACUGGGUGUAAAGGGGGCGUAGACGGCAGGACAAGUGUGUAGUGAACUGCUCGGGCUUAACCCCGGAACUGCAGGGGAAACUGGGGCGCUAGAGUGCAGGCGAGGUAGGUGGAAUGCGUGGUGUAGCGGUGAAAUGCGUAGAUAUGAGGAAGAACCCCGAUUGCGAAGGCAGCUGACUGCACUGUAACUGACGUUGAGGCUCGAAAGCGUGGGUAGCAAACAGGAUGAGAUACCCUAGUAGUC